Molecule: long non-coding RNA, 105 nt
Organism: Gopherus evgoodei (Goodes thornscrub tortoise)
Lineage: Eukaryota; Metazoa; Chordata; Testudines; Testudinidae
Exons: 3
Source: RefSeq, a predicted model, not a curated record
CCAUUCAGAGCUACUGUGGAUACACAGAGACAGACAUGUAUUUCAUUAAUCUAUGCCUACGAGCCACUGAUUUCAAUCAGGGUUGGUCACAGCACAGUGCUAAUG